AAAUUGAAGAGUUUGAUCAUGGCUCAGAUUGAACGCUGGCGGCAGGCCUAACACAUGCAAGUCGAACGGUAACAGGAAGCAGCUUGCUGCUUUGCUGACGAGUGGCGGACGGGUGAGUAAUGUCUGGGGAACUGCCUGAUGGAGGGGGAUAACUACUGGAAACGGUGGCUAAUACCGCAUAACGUCGCAAGACCAAAGAGGGGGACCUUCGGGCCUCUUGCCAUCAGAUGUGCCCAGAUGGGAUUAGCUUGUUGGUGAGGUAA
RNAcentral lists this ribosomal RNA (263 nucleotides) under Salmonella enterica. RNAcentral describes it as "partial 16S ribosomal RNA". It matches the Rfam family "Bacterial small subunit ribosomal RNA", at positions 1 to 260 of the family's 1533-position model. The record is from RNAcentral. Lineage: Bacteria; Pseudomonadati; Pseudomonadota; Gammaproteobacteria; Enterobacterales; Enterobacteriaceae.